GAUGAACGCUGGCGGCGUGCCUAAUACAUGCAAGUCGAGCGAACAGACGAGGAGCUUGCUCCUCUGACGUUAGCGGCGGACGGGUGAGUCACACGUGGAUAACCUACCUAUAAGACUGGGAUAACUUCGGGAAACGGGAGCUAAUACCGGAUAAUAUAUUGAACCGCAUGGUUCAAUAGUGAAAGACGGUUUUGCUGUCACUUAUAGAUGGAUCCGCGCCGCAUUGGCUAGUUGGUAAGGUAACGGCUUACCAAGGCAACGAUGCGUAUCCGACCUGAGAGAGUGAUCGGCCACCCUGGAGCGUAGCCACGCUCCAGACUCCUGCGAGACGCAGCAGUAGGGUAUCUUCCGCAAUGGUCGGAAGCCUUGCGGAGCGACCCCGCGUGAGUUAUGAAGGCCUUCGGAUCGUAAUACUCUGUUAUUAGUUAAGAACAAAUGUGUAAUUAACCAUGCACGUCGUGACGGUACCUAGUCAGAAAGCCCCGGCUAACUACGUG
This 497-nucleotide ribosomal RNA is filed under the name uncultured bacterium. Its description in RNAcentral is "partial 16S ribosomal RNA". It matches the Rfam family "Bacterial small subunit ribosomal RNA", at positions 28 to 507 of the family's 1533-position model. The record is from RNAcentral.